UUGAUAGCAAAGAAAAACUAUUUCUUCUAUAUGUCUUAUAAAUGUAAAAACCACGCUGCUGUGCAGGGCCGUCUCUGGGCCGAGUGAGUCUUCGACACGAUCGCCAUGGCGCAGAGCAGAAGAAGCUGCGCAGAUGUGCUCAUCGAGAAACGCGCUCUCCUUCGUUAAUGGGUAGAUAGAUAAGUCCGAUGUGGCAUUGAUGAUAAAGAUGGAUGGCUAAACAGUAGAGGGGGUUCGGGGUCUCUUUAAGAGGCGAAUGUGUAAACUGGCUCGAGGCGAGCUGGGUGUCGACAGGCCGGUCGGCCGUGAAGUCUGUGCCUCAAAUGUUGGCUUUUAUGUGCUGGAUUUGUGUUCUUUUAAAGGGACUUUUAAGUAUUUCUGUAUGUGUGUACUAAGACUCCGGUGACUCAACUAAUUGUAACUUUUUUGUUUUUAGAUACAAUGGGGCUUGUCACGUUUUUUUCUUUGCUCUUUUUACGAUGUCGUAUUGUUCGAUUGACUCGCUCUGUCUUUUUGCUGUACUGUUUAUAGAUUCUGAUUUUUUUUCCCCUGUUUAUUAUCACUUCACAUUUUUAUUGGCGCUUUUUGGAGUUUUAUUGCAUGUUACGAAGUUCAUUUGUAUUCAUAGAAGCCUUGCCGUGUCGUAUUGUAUUUAGUUACCUGUUGUCUGUAAUGUUAUGUAUAUGAUUCUCUCUGAUGACAUUUGUUUUCAAUGCCGGACUUGUGCUACGACCACAUAACCCUUUUAAUUUUUGCUGUCCAUGUGCUCUAUGGGCGCCGCUAAGAUUCGCGCAGAUGGAGAAAGGCCGCCGGUUUUUUUCUUUUUGAGCCAAACAAGACCCGCCAGAGACUGGCUGACCAAUAAGAACGUGGGACUUUCAGUGACGUCAUGGAGCGAGCGCGCCUCAUGAGCACGUGACCGGAGCGUUUGCCACAAGCCACAAAGCUGCGCUUCCAGCUGUUGAAAGCCAUUUUAGCGUCUGCUCCCCACGCUUCAUAUCCCCAGCGCUUGGAAAGCGCGACGUGUCAGGAGUGAGCAGCCCAUCGCUUAUUGUCUGCUCUGCUGGACGGAGGGAAUAAUGACGGCGCUGUGAGCCGCUCCCGUCAUCGGACACAAAUCCGGCUCAACCGCAGCUGUUUUGACUCUCUGGACAGUGGCUUGGUGAAGUAAGCCACUGUCAGUAAGGACACAUCGGGAUGGCUGCGUGGCAUCUUCGGAUAGCCGCCAGUCAGGAUUACAGGUGUUGGGGCAGACGCCGAGUACCAGCUGACCUACCGGUGAAGUAAGAGCGGGGCGGUCAAGUCUGAAAACGUGAACCAUGAAGACCAGAUUCUGCAAAUCCUAUGGGUGUCUGGUGGAGCCCUUUGAUGGACCAACAUGCAGUCUAAGAUGGAACUGUAAUUGGCAUGUGUGGCUAAUGGCACAGGUGAAGAAGCUGAAUACAGAAGGUAGAUUGUGUGUGUGUAUAUAUAUA
Molecule: long non-coding RNA, 1475 nt
Organism: Erpetoichthys calabaricus (reedfish)
Lineage: Eukaryota; Metazoa; Chordata; Cladistia; Polypteriformes; Polypteridae
Exons: 2
Source: RefSeq, a predicted model, not a curated record